CCUCCUCCGCCACCUCCACCACCUCCGUUCAAGCUUCCAAGUUCUACUGCUGGAGCUACUGCAAAGCCACAACCGCCACCGCCACCGCCACCUCCACCUCCUCCACCGUUUCCUCGAGGGAAUUUAGGUGCCCCACCUCCGCCUCCACCACCGUUGCCUCGAGGGAAUUCAGCUGCACCACCACCUCCGCCUCCUCCACCGUUGCCUCGAUGGAAUUCAGCUGCACCACCUCCGCCUCCUCCACCACUGCCUCGAGGAAAUUCAUCUGCACCGCCGCCUCCGCCUCCCCCACCUCCUCCGUUGCCUCGAGGAAAUUCGGCUGCACCACCACCACCACCACCGCCUCCACCACUCCCUCGUGGCAAUGCCGCUCCUCCACCGCCACGUCCAGUCCCUACUGCCCCUCCUCCACCUCCUCUUCCACAAGCUGCAAGGCCUCUAGCUUCAUCAAGCUCACCACCGCCGCCGCCGCCUUUACCGGGAAUGCGAGGCACUCCUCCGCCUCCACCUCCGCCUUUGAAAGGACCGCCUCCACCUCCGCCUCCUCCUCUGGGGACGAAGUCACCAUUGCCUGGUGCACCACCUCCUCCGCCACCUGCAUUGGGGAGAGGACGAGGUAGUAGUCCUUUGACACC
This 635-nucleotide long non-coding RNA is filed under the name Selaginella moellendorffii. RNAcentral's name for it is "long non-coding RNA (SMOE_LNC000276)". Lineage: Eukaryota; Viridiplantae; Streptophyta; Lycopodiopsida; Selaginellales; Selaginellaceae. The record is from RNAcentral.